UACAUAUACCAAUGGACACACCCAUGUCUAAGCAUGUACACACAUUCACAAAGCACACACACAACAUGCAUGCCAUUCAUGUGCAUACAGAAACACACAUAUUCCAUGACACGUUCAUAGGCACAGGCCAUGUAGUAAUAGAACUCACAAGUGUGCCUGCAUGUGAGCACACACAUGUACCCUCACACUCAGGCCCUUGCAUGUAGACACACAUAUGCAUGCAUGAUUCAUACAGACAGGCUUCUCCAGAAGUGGGGUACCCAGCCGGGUCAGUACUGCCGAGAGGCUGAAGGAGCUACUGGACUUGUCCACAUGGAGUCAUCUAUGACUUUGUAGCAAGUGACUACAGGGAAAAAUGGGAGUGAAGAAGUGGAUCCAGGAGUGUAGAUACCCUCACGACGUCUGGUUUGAAGAGAUGCAGGGGCAGUAGUGGGUGCAUGUGAGCUCAGGAAGGGCUCAUUUCAUUUGCUGCUCCUUUAGGGAUGAAGCUGGUUUGGCUGCUGGUGGUGGCCAUGAGGGGUGUGGUGCUGAGGAGAGUGAGUGUAAAGCACUGUGAGCCACAGGAGGCCAGGCUUUCUCUACCGUGGCUGGAGGCCCAAAUGGUUGUAGUCACAGGCAGGCUGAUAGUGGUGGCUGGAUCUGAAGUCACAUCAGCCAAUGAUUUCAGCCUUUCACCUUCUCCAUGCAGUAGGGGGUGCUUAGCUGACCAUGGGGCACAGAGAAGAGGGACAGUUGGAUCAUCCAUGGCUGGGUUUUGACCAAGGGUAUGGGACCAAGAGGACAGG
RNAcentral lists this long non-coding RNA (785 nucleotides) under Marmota monax (woodchuck). The record is from RNAcentral. Lineage: Eukaryota; Metazoa; Chordata; Mammalia; Rodentia; Sciuridae.